Molecule: ribosomal RNA, 2300 nt
Filed under: Drosophila melanogaster (fruit fly)
Lineage: Eukaryota; Metazoa; Arthropoda; Insecta; Diptera; Drosophilidae
Description: eukaryotic LSU rRNA
Rfam family: Eukaryotic large subunit ribosomal RNA
Source: RNAcentral
CAGAUACCAUGAAAGGCGUUGGUUGCUUAAAACAGCAGGACGGUGAUCAUGGAAGUCGAAAUCCGCUAAGGAGUGUGUAACAACUCACCUGCCGAAGCAACUAGCCCUUAAAAUGGAUGGCGCUUAAGUUGUAUACCUAUACAUUACCGCUAAAGUAGAUGAUUUAUAUUACUUGUGAUAUAAAUUUUGAAACUUUAGUGAGUAGGAAGGUACAAUGGUAUGCGUAGAAGUGUUUGGCGUAAGCCUGCAUGGAGCUGCCAUUGGUACAGAUCUUGGUGGUAGUAGCAAAUAAUCGAAUGAGACCUUGGAGGACUGAAGUGGAGAAGGGUUUCGUGUGAACAGUGGUUGAUCACGAGUUAGUCGGUCCUAAGUUCAAGGCGAAAGCCGAAAAUUUUCAAGUAAAACAAAAAUGCCUAACUAUAUAAACAAAGCGAAUUAUAAUACACUUGAAUAAUUUUGAACGAAAGGGAAUACGGUUCCAAUUCCGUAACCUGUUGAGUAUCCGUUUGUUAUUAAAUAUGGGCCUCGUGCUCAUCCUGGCAACAGGAACGACCAUAAAGAAGCCGUCGAGAGAUAUCGGAAGAGUUUUCUUUUCUGUUUUAUAGCCGUACUACCAUGGAAGUCUUUCGCAGAGAGAUAUGGUAGAUGGGCUAGAAGAGCAUGACAUAUACUGUUGUGUCGAUAUUUUCUCCUCGGACCUUGAAAAUUUAUGGUGGGGACACGCAAACUUCUCAACAGGCCGUACCAAUAUCCGCAGCUGGUCUCCAAGGUGAAGAGUCUCUAGUCGAUAGAAUAAUGUAGGUAAGGGAAGUCGGCAAAUUAGAUCCGUAACUUCGGGAUAAGGAUUGGCUCUGAAGAUUGAGAUAGUCGGGCUUGAUUGGGAAACAAUAACAUGGUUUAUGUGCUCGUUCUGGGUAAAUAGAGUUUCUAGCAUUUAUGUUAGUUACUUGUUCCCCGGAUAGUUUAGUUACGUAGCCAAUUGUGGAACUUUCUUGCUAAAAUUUUUAAGAAUACUAUUUGGGUUAAACCAAUUAGUUCUUAUUAAUUAUAACGAUUAUCAAUUAACAAUCAAUUCAGAACUGGCACGGACUUGGGGAAUCCGACUGUCUAAUUAAAACAAAGCAUUGUGAUGGCCCUAGCGGGUGUUGACACAAUGUGAUUUCUGCCCAGUGCUCUGAAUGUCAAAGUGAAGAAAUUCAAGUAAGCGCGGGUCAACGGCGGGAGUAACUAUGACUCUCUUAAGGUAGCCAAAUGCCUCGUCAUCUAAUUAGUGACGCGCAUGAAUGGAUUAACGAGAUUCCUACUGUCCCUAUCUACUAUCUAGCGAAACCACAGCCAAGGGAACGGGCUUGGAAUAAUUAGCGGGGAAAGAAGACCCUUUUGAGCUUGACUCUAAUCUGGCAGUGUAAGGAGACAUAAGAGGUGUAGAAUAAGUGGGAGAUAUUAGACCUCGGUUUGGUAUCGUCAAUGAAAUACCACUACUCUUAUUGUUUCCUUACUUACUUGAUUAAAUGGAACGUGUAUCAUUUCCUAGCCAUUAUACGGAUAUAUUUAUUAUAUCUUAUGGUAUUGGGUUUUGAUGCAAGCUUCUUGAUCAAAGUAUCACGAGUUUGUUAUAUAAUCGCAAACAAAUUCUUUAAUAAAACGAUGCAUUUAUGUAUUUUUGAUUUGAAAAUUUGGUAUAACUCCAAUUACUCAGGUAUGAUCCAAUUCAAGGACAUUGCCAGGUAGGGAGUUUGACUGGGGCGGUACAUCUCUCAAAUAAUAACGGAGGUGUCCCAAGGCCAGCUCAGUGCGGACAGAAACCACACAUAGAGCAAAAGGGCAAAUGCUGACUUGAUCUCGGUGUUCAGUACACACAGGGACAGCAAAAGCUCGGCCUAUCGAUCCUUUUGGUUUAAAGAGUUUUUAACAAGAGGUGUCAGAAAAGUUACCAUAGGGAUAACUGGCUUGUGGCGGCCAAGCGUUCAUAGCGACGUCGCUUUUUGAUCCUUCGAUGUCGGCUCUUCCUAUCAUUGUGAAGCAAAAUUCACCAAGCGUUGGAUUGUUCACCCAUGCAAGGGAACGUGAGCUGGGUUUAGACCGUCGUGAGACAGGUUAGUUUUACCCUACUAAUGACAAAACGUUGUUGCGACAGCAUUCCUGCGUAGUACGAGAGGAACCGCAGGUACGGACCAAUGGCACAAUACUUGUUCGAGCGAACAGUGGUAUGACGCUACGUCCGUUGGAUUAUGCCUGAACGCCUCUAAGGUCGUAUCCGUGCUGGACUGCAAUGAUAAAUAAGGGGCAAUUUGCAUUGU